RNAcentral lists this transfer RNA (75 nucleotides) under Jannaschia helgolandensis. Its description in RNAcentral is "tRNA-Phe". It matches the Rfam family "tRNA". From Rfam's summary of the family: Transfer RNA (tRNA) molecules are approximately 80 nucleotides in length. Their secondary structure includes four short double-helical elements and three loops (D, anti-codon, and T loops). Further hydrogen bonds mediate the characteristic L-shaped molecular structure. tRNAs have two regions of fundamental functional importance: the anti-codon, which is responsible for specific mRNA codon recognition, and the 3' end, to which the tRNAs corresponding amino acid is attached (by aminoacyl-tRNA synthetases). tRNAs cope with the degeneracy of the genetic code in two manners: having more than one tRNA (with a specific anti-codon) for a particular amino acid; and 'wobble' base-pairing, i.e. permitting non-standard base-pairing at the 3rd anti-codon position. RNAcentral also lists the same sequence under 48 other names. Lineage: Bacteria; Pseudomonadati; Pseudomonadota; Alphaproteobacteria; Rhodobacterales; Roseobacteraceae. The record is from RNAcentral.
GCCUGGGUAGCUCAGGGGUAGAGCAGUGGAUUGAAAAUCCUCGUGUCGGUGGUUCGAUUCCGCCCCCGGGCACCA